RNAcentral lists this ribosomal RNA (401 nucleotides) under bacterium enrichment culture clone enrichment3A. RNAcentral's name for it is "bacterial SSU rRNA". It matches the Rfam family "Bacterial small subunit ribosomal RNA", at positions 82 to 518 of the family's 1533-position model. The record is from RNAcentral.
CCCCGCAAGGGGAGUGGCAGACGGGUGAGUAACGCGUGGGAAUCUACCGUACCCUACGGAAUAGCUCCGGGAAACUGGAAUUAAUACCGUAUACGCCCUACGGGGGAAAGAUUUAUCGGGGUAUGAUGAGCCCGCGUUGGAUUAGCUAGUUGGUGGGGUAAAGGCCUACCAAGGCGACGAUCCAUAGCUGGUCUGAGAGGAUGAUCAGCCACAUUGGGACUGAGACACGGCCCAAACUCCUACGGGAGGCAGCAGUGGGGAAUAUUGGACAAUGGGCGCAAGCCUGAUCCAGCCAUGCCGCGUGAGUGAUGAAGGUCUUAGGAUUGUAAAGCUCUUUCACCGAUGAAGAUAAUGACGGUAGUCGGAGAAGAAGCCCCGGCUAACUUCGUGCCAGCCGCCGC